Molecule: long non-coding RNA, 299 nt
Filed under: Vitis vinifera (wine grape)
Lineage: Eukaryota; Viridiplantae; Streptophyta; Magnoliopsida; Vitales; Vitaceae
Description: long non-coding RNA (VVIN_LNC006901)
Source: RNAcentral
UGAGGUAAAGGUGUUCUUUUUUACGAAGAGGGUGUUAUUGGUCAAGGACACACGAGGGGAGUUAUUUUUAUUGAAAAAUGGGUAGUUGACAUGUAAUGCAAUAAUGGUGAAAAAGGACGUUAAAUAAAAAAAAAAAAAAAGGAAAAGUAUGCUUUAGGCUUCCGAUAUGCAAAUAACUUGAAAUUGAGAACCCAACUUUUUCAAUUUAAAGUUAACACUAUUAAUCCCCAAAAUAUUUUGGAUUUUAUGCAGUUUGGGUUGAUGUGGUUUUUAAUGUCAAAUUUACCCUCCCCUUUCCC